CCGCCUACGGGAGGCAGCAGUGAGGAAUAUUGGUCAAUGGUCGGGAGACUGAACCAGCCAAGCCGCGUGAGGGAUGAAGGCACAGAGUAUCGUAAACCUCUUUUGUCAGGGAACAAAGGCGGGGACGUGUCCCCGGAUGAGUGUACCUGAAGAAAAAGCAUCGGCUAACUCCGUGCCAGCAGCCGCGGUAAUACGGAGGAUGCGAGCGUUAUCCGGAUUUAUUGGGUUUAAAGGGUGCGCAGGCGGUCUGUUAAGUCAGCGGUCAAGGCCCGGGGCUCAACCCCGGCGCGCCGGUGAAA
RNAcentral lists this ribosomal RNA (299 nucleotides) under uncultured bacterium. RNAcentral's name for it is "partial 16S ribosomal RNA". It matches the Rfam family "Bacterial small subunit ribosomal RNA", at positions 335 to 632 of the family's 1533-position model. The record is from RNAcentral.